GACAGAGGGUGCAAACGUUGCUCGGAAUUACAGGGCGUAAAGCGCGUGUAGGUGGAUUGGUGUGUCAGAUGUGAAAGCCCUGGGCUCAACCCAGGAACUGCACCUGAAACUACCAGUCUUGAGUGGUGGAGAGGGAAGUGGAAUUCCUGGUGUAGAGGUGAAAUUCGUAGAUAUCAGGAGGAACACCAGUGGCGAAGGCGGCUUCCUGGACACUAACUGACGCUGAGACGCGAAAGCGUGGGGAGCAAACAGG
Molecule: ribosomal RNA, 253 nt
Filed under: uncultured bacterium
Lineage: Bacteria
Description: partial 16S ribosomal RNA
Rfam family: Bacterial small subunit ribosomal RNA
Source: RNAcentral